This 961-nucleotide ribosomal RNA is filed under the name uncultured bacterium. Its description in RNAcentral is "bacterial SSU rRNA". It matches the Rfam family "Bacterial small subunit ribosomal RNA", at positions 8 to 954 of the family's 1533-position model. The record is from RNAcentral.
AGAGUUUGAUCAUGGCUCAGAGUGAACGCUGGCGGCAGGCCUAACACAUGCAAGUCGAACGGCAGCACAGAGGAGCUUGCUCCUUGGGUGGCGAGUGGCGGACGGGUGAGGAAUGCAUCGGAAUCUGCCUAUUUGUGGGGGAUAACGUAGGGAAACUUACGCUAAUACCGCAUACGUCCUACGGGAGAAAGUGGGGGACCGCAAGGCCUCACGCAGAUAGAUGAGCCGAUGCCGGAUUAGCUAGUUGGCGGGGUAAAGGCCCACCAAGGCGACGAUCCGUAGCUGGUCUGAGAGGAUGAUCAGCCACACUGGAACUGAGACACGGUCCAGACUCCUACGGGAGGCAGCAGUGGGGAAUAUUGGACAAUGGGCGCAAGCCUGAUCCAGCCAUGCCGCGUGUGUGAAGAAGGCCUUCGGGUUGUAAAGCACUUUUGUCCGGAAAGAAAAGCGCUCGAUUAAUACUCGGGUGUUAUGACGGUACCGGAAGAAUAAGCACCGGCUAACUUCGUGCCAGCAGCCGCGGUAAUACGAAGGGUGCAAGCGUUACUCGGAAUUACUGGGCGUAAAGCGUGCGUAGGUGGUUUGUUAAGUCUGAUGUGAAAGCCCUGGGCUCAACCUGGGAACUGCAUUGGAAACUGGCUUACUAGAGUGCGGUAGAGGGGUGUGGAAUUCCCGGUGUAGCAGUGAAAUGCGUAGAUAUCGGGAGGAACAUCUGUGGCGAAAGCGACACCCUGUACCAGCACUGACACUGAGGCACGAAAGCGUGGGGAGCAAACAGGAUUAGAUACCCUGGUAGUCCACGCCCUAAACGAUGCGAACUGGAUGUUGGGGGCAACUUGGCCCUCAGUAUCGAAGCUAACGCGUUAAGUUCGCCGCCUGGGAAGUACGGUCGCAAGACUGAAACUCAAAGGAAUUGACGGGGGCCCGCACAAGCCGGUGGGAGUAUUGUGGUUUAAUUCGA